This 84-nucleotide transfer RNA is filed under the name Felis catus (domestic cat). It matches the Rfam family "tRNA". Rfam says of the family: Transfer RNA (tRNA) molecules are approximately 80 nucleotides in length. Their secondary structure includes four short double-helical elements and three loops (D, anti-codon, and T loops). The record is from Rfam by way of RNAcentral. Lineage: Eukaryota; Metazoa; Chordata; Mammalia; Carnivora; Felidae.
GGCUGGCUGGCUCAGUCGGUUGAGCAUCUGACUUCGGCUCAGGUCGUGGUCUCCCGUCCGUGGGUUCGAGCCCCAUGUCGGGCU